GGGGGCGCGUUUAAAACGACCACAGAAUGCUAAUCUAUGACCCCCUUGGUUAAAGUCCAAGGCACCCUCG
This 70-nucleotide transfer RNA is filed under the name Trichonotus elegans (long-rayed sand-diver). Its description in RNAcentral is "tRNA-Ser(AGY)". RNAcentral also lists the same sequence under 1 other name. Lineage: Eukaryota; Metazoa; Chordata; Actinopteri; Gobiiformes; Trichonotidae. The record is from RNAcentral.